GCAUUGGUGGUUCAGUGGUAGAAUUCUCGCCUGCCACGUGGGAGAUCUGCGUCUGAUUCCCGGCCAAUGCA
Danio rerio (zebrafish) is the source of this 71-nucleotide non-coding RNA. Lineage: Eukaryota; Metazoa; Chordata; Actinopteri; Cypriniformes; Danionidae. The record is from Rfam.